GACCAAUGAAAGCGCAGAUUUAUUGAGGGGAAAGUACACUCCACAGAAGUGGAAUGUAGGUGUGGGAGCAGGCGACCAAGCGGCUCAAGAACCCCGAUUACAAUGUUUUUUAGGGUUUUAUUAGGUUGGUGCAAAAGUAAUUGCGGUUUUUGCCAUGAAUAAGCUAGAAUUUUAUAAUACCCCAAGAGUUCUUUAAAGGCCUCCAAUCCUAUGAAGGACUGGUGCACAACCAAUCAGAGGCUGAAGUGGAGACUUCUGUCUUGUUACCACAGGAGUGAGGACGUGGCCUGUGUGCUGCCUCAUCUUGCCUAGAACUAGCUGCACCUGCUGUUCUUUUGCUUAUGCCUUCAUUCUUGGUUACCCUAAUUCCCUAUUCUCCUGCCUCACUCUGAGGCAUUAGAGUUGGUUUUUCAGUCUGCCAGGGACAAAAGAGAACUAAUCCAGAUAGGACCAUGCCAAGGAAGAUAGAGGAGAGGCUAAAGAAAGAGUACAAAGGUCAAUCAGUCGUUCCCAUGGAAAAACAACUCUCCUGCUUAUAUAGUCAAUUAUUGUGUCCAAUUCAUUCAGCAAAACAUUUAUUCAUGUAAUAUCCCUUACUUGGUAUUCUAACUUAUAUUUUCAACUCAUUUUAGGAACUUGAAGUCAGUCUCAGGUAAAGAACAAUGAAAGAGAAAUCUCAGCUUGGUAUUGGUAAUGGUGGUGAUAAUCUCCACCUGGAGACACUAGGCGUAUGUUAAAUUAUCGAGCUUGUUAUCUUUCCUGGGAAGUGAUUAUCAUUUGUUUCUCUUGUGACAGCGGGGAGUGUUCUGCAUGAGGAACUAAUAUGAUACCAGAAAAACAGGUGAAAUGCCAGUUACAGAAACUUAUUACCAACGACUAUCUAAUAACUGCGAUGACAGAAAUAGGUCAAUUGAAACAUGAGUGGAUGGUGAAAAAAAUUUACACUUCACAGAAGUUUUUCUUUCUUUUUUUUUUUUUUUUUUUUUGAGACAAAGUCUCGUUCUGUCCCAGACUGGAGCACUAUUCACAAUAGCCAAAAUAUGGAAUCAACCUAGAUGUCCAACAACAGAUAAAUGGAUAAAGAAAAUGUGGUUUAUACACACAAAGGAAUACUAUUCAAAGAACAGAAUGAAAUCCUAUCACCUGAGGCAACAUGGAUGGAAAUGGAGGACAUUAUUUAAGUGAAAUAAGCCAGGAACAUAAACAUGCACAUUCCCACUCAUAUGUGGAAGCUUUAAAAAAAAAAAAAAAAAGCUGGGUGCGGUGGCUCACGCCUGUAAUCCCAGCACUUUGGGAGGCUGAGGCGGGUGGAUCACCUGAGGUCGGGAGUUCAAGACUAGCCUGACCAACAUGGAGAAACCCUGUCUCUACUAAAAAUACAAAAUUAGCCGGGGUGGUGGUGCAUGCCUGUAAUCCCAGCUACUCAGGAGGCUGAGGCAGGAGAAUCGCUUGAACCCAGGAGGCAGAGGCUGCGGUGAGCCAAGAUCAUGCCACUGCACUCCAGCCUGGGCAAAAAGAGUGAAACUCCAUCUC
Molecule: long non-coding RNA, 1533 nt
Filed under: Homo sapiens (human)
Lineage: Eukaryota; Metazoa; Chordata; Mammalia; Primates; Hominidae
Description: non-protein coding lnc-ZNF587-2:1
Rfam family: Metazoan signal recognition particle RNA (bases 1254-1370)
Source: RNAcentral